This 253-nucleotide ribosomal RNA is filed under the name uncultured bacterium. RNAcentral's name for it is "partial 16S ribosomal RNA". It matches the Rfam family "Bacterial small subunit ribosomal RNA", at positions 524 to 776 of the family's 1533-position model. The record is from RNAcentral.
UACGGAGGGUGCAAGCGUUAUCCGGAUUCACUGGGUUUAAAGGGUGCGUAGGCGGGUAUGUAAGUCAGUGGUGAAAUCCCCGAGCUUAACUUGGGAACUGCCGUUGAUACUAUAUAUCUUGAAUAUCGCGUAGGUAAGCGGAAUAUGUCAUGUAGCGGUGAAAUGCUUAGAUAUGACAUAGAACACCAAUUGCGAAGGCAGCUUACUUCACGAUUAUUGACACUGAGGCACGAAAGCGUGGGGAGCAAGCAGG